CACGUAGGAGGCGAGCGUUGUCCGGAAUCAUUGGGCGUAAAGAGCGCGCAGGCGGUCGUUCAAGUCGAGUGUGAAAGCCCCCGGCUCAACUGGGGAGGGUCAUUCGAUACUGAUCGACUUGAAGGCAGGAGAGGGAAGCGGAAUUCCCGGUGUAGUGGUGAAAUGCGUAGAUAUUGGGAAGAACACCUGAGGCGAAGGCGGGUUGCUGGGCCGACACUGACGCUGAUGCGCGAAAGCCAGGGGAGCGAACGGG
RNAcentral lists this ribosomal RNA (253 nucleotides) under uncultured bacterium. RNAcentral's name for it is "partial 16S ribosomal RNA". It matches the Rfam family "Bacterial small subunit ribosomal RNA", at positions 524 to 776 of the family's 1533-position model. The record is from RNAcentral.